GAUGAAGAACGUAGCGAAAUGCGAUACUUGGUGUGAAUUGCAGAAUCCCGUGAACCAUCGAGUCUUUGAACGCGAGUUGCGCCCGAAGCCACUAGGCCGAGGGCACGCCUGCCUGGGCGUCACACGUCGUUGCCCCCCACCAUCUACUCCUUCGGGAUUGCGGGGGGCGGAUGAUGGCCUCCCGUGCGCCUAGCCGCGCGGUUGGCAUAAAUACCAAGUCCUCGGCGACGCACGCCACGACAAUCGGUGGUUGCGAAACCUCGGUUGCCCGUCGUGUGCGUUCAUCGCGCAUCGAGGGCUCGAAAAAAUGCUCGGCUCCGGCUCGGCUUUCAACGCGACCCCAGGUCAGGCGGGGUUACCCGCUGAAUUUAAGCAUAUCAAUAAGCGGAGGA
This 392-nucleotide unclassified non-coding RNA is filed under the name soil metagenome. RNAcentral's name for it is "partial contains 5.8S ribosomal RNA, internal transcribed spacer 2, and large subunit ribosomal RNA". The stretch from base 1 to 122 matches the Rfam family "5.8S ribosomal RNA", at positions 35 to 154 of the family's 154-position model. The record is from RNAcentral.